Molecule: ribosomal RNA, 465 nt
Filed under: uncultured Klebsiella sp.
Lineage: Bacteria; Pseudomonadati; Pseudomonadota; Gammaproteobacteria; Enterobacterales; Enterobacteriaceae
Description: bacterial SSU rRNA
Rfam family: Bacterial small subunit ribosomal RNA
Source: RNAcentral
CCUACGGGCGGCUGCAGUGGGGAAUAUUGCACAAUGGGCGCAAGCCUGAUGCAGCCAUGCCGCGUGUGUGAAGAAGGCCUUCGGGUUGUAAAGCACUUUCAGCGGGGAGGAAGGCGGUGAGGUUAAUAACCUCAUCGAUUGACGUUACCCGCAGAAGAAGCACCGGCUAACUCCGUGCCAGCAGCCGCGGUAAUACGGAGGGUGCAAGCGUUAAUCGGAAUUACUGGGCGUAAAGCGCACGCAGGCGGUCUGUCAAGUCGGAUGUGAAAUCCCCGGGCUCAACCUGGGAACUGCAUUCGAAACUGGCGGGCUAGAGUCUUGUAGAGGGGGGUAGAAUUCCAGGUGUAGCGGUGAAAUGCGUAGAGAUCUGGAGGAAUACCGGUGGCGAAGGCGGCCCCCUGGACAAAGACUGACGCUCAGGUGCGAAAGCGUGGGGAGCAAACAGGAUUAGAUACCCGUGUAGUC